Molecule: ribosomal RNA, 301 nt
Filed under: uncultured bacterium
Lineage: Bacteria
Description: partial 16S ribosomal RNA
Rfam family: Bacterial small subunit ribosomal RNA
Source: RNAcentral
CAGUCGCCGCGGUAAUACGUAGGUGGCAAGCGUUGUCCGGAAUUAUUGGGCGUAAAGGGCUCGCAGGCGGUUUCUUAAGUCUGAUGUGAAAGCCCCCGGCUCAACCGGGGAGGGUCAUUGGAAACUGGGAAACUUGAGUGCAGAAGAGGAGAGUGGAAUUCCACGUGUAGCGGUGAAAUGCGUAGAGAUGUGGAGGAACACCAGUGGCGAAGGCGACUUUCUGGUCUGUAACUGACGCUGAGGAGCGAAAGCGUGGGGAGCGAACAGGAUUAGAUACCCCGGUAGUCCCUGUCUCUUAUAC